RNAcentral lists this ribosomal RNA (542 nucleotides) under Paratylenchus sp. WK-2013. RNAcentral describes it as "eukaryotic LSU rRNA". It matches the Rfam family "Eukaryotic large subunit ribosomal RNA", at positions 386 to 813 of the family's 3401-position model. Lineage: Eukaryota; Metazoa; Nematoda; Chromadorea; Rhabditida; Tylenchulidae. The record is from RNAcentral.
CGGAUAGAGCUAGCGAAGCCGUUCGUACUCAGCUGAUAACCGCGGGCUCUUUGCUGGUUGCAUUGUUAAAAGGCGGCUAGUGAUGUAGUCCUGUGGUCGAAGUGCAUUUACGAGCGAUUGCGCUGAGACUUGUGGGGCAGUGGCUGAACGAUCGACUAGAGGCUUCCCUCUGGGUUGUACCUUGUCGGGAUUACAGUUAUUUGCUCUGCUCGUACGGGCUUGGCCUACGAACCCUGUUGCUUAGGCGGUGCACGGUGGUGGAGUCACAUGUGACGCUCAUUGCCGGGUGCUUUCUCUGUAGCUUGUUGUUCACUUGCCCACUCUCGGUGUAGAAGCUGGUCAUCUAUCCGACCCGUCUUGAAACACGGACCAAGGAGUUUAGCGUAUGCGCGAGCCAUUGGGCGUUUAAAACCCACAGGCACAAUGAAAGUGAAGGCCCAGUCGCUGGGCUUACAUGUGAGUGGAAAGUCUUCGGACUACCAUGCAACAUGGUCCCGUUCUAAUUGCUUGCAAUGGAGCGGAGAUAGAGCGUAUGCGCUGAG